Molecule: ribosomal RNA, 491 nt
Filed under: uncultured bacterium
Lineage: Bacteria
Description: partial 16S ribosomal RNA
Rfam family: Bacterial small subunit ribosomal RNA
Source: RNAcentral
GAUGAACGCUGGCUACAGGCUUAACACAUGCAAGUCGAGGGGAAACGACGGGGAAGCUUGCUUCCCCGGGCGUCGACCGGCGCACGGGUGAGUAACGCGUAUCCAACCUGCCUCUGACUGAGGGAUAACCCGUCGAAAGUCGGCCUAAUACCUCAUGGUAUCGUCUGCGGGCAUCCAACGACGAUUAAAGAUUUCAUCGGUCAGGGAUGGGGAUGCGUCUGAUUAGCUUGUUGGCGGGGUAACGGCCCACCAAGGCUACGAUCAGUAGGGGUUCUGAGAGGAAGGUCCCCCACAGUGGAACGGAGACACGGUCCAAACUACUACGGGAGGCAGCAGUGAGGAAUAUUGGUCAAUGGGCGAGAGCCUGAACCAGCCAAGUAGCGUGCAGGAAGACGGCCCUAUGGGUUGUAAACUGCUUUUAUGCGGGGAUAAAGUGAGGGACGUGUCCCUCAUUGCAGGUACCGCAUGAAUAAGGACCGGCUAAGUCCGUG